This is a non-coding RNA of Ameiurus melas (black bullhead), 76 nucleotides long. NCBI's taxonomy places the organism in Eukaryota, Metazoa, Chordata, Actinopteri, Siluriformes, Ictaluridae. The record is from the annotation of a GenBank genome assembly.
GCCUUGUUAGCGCAGUAGGUAGCGCGCGCGUCGUCUCAUUAUCUGAAGGUCGUGAGUUCAAUUCUCACACAGGGCA